CAAAGGCCUGGUCCUGACUUUACUAUCGGUUUUAACCCAAUUUAUACAUGCAAGUAUCCGCACCCCCGUGAGAAUGCCCUCAAUCCUCCUCCCGAGGACGAGGAGCCGGCAUCAGGCACGCCCCGCAGCCCAAGACGCCUUGCUUCGCCACACCCACAAGGGAAUUCAGCAGUAAUAAACAUUAAGCAAUAAGUGAAAACUUGACUUAGUUAGGGUUUAGAGGGUCGGUAAAACUCGUGCCAGCCACCGCGGUUAUACGAGAGACCCUAAUUGAUAGACACGGCGUAAAGAGUGGUUUGGGAAAGCCCAAAAAUAAAGCUAAAGACCUUCUAAGCCGUCACACGCACGCCGAAGGCACGAAGCCCUGACACGAAAGUAGCUUUACUAUUACCCCCGACGCCACGAAAGCUAAGAAACAAACUGGGAUUAGAUACCCCACUAUGCUUAGCCCUAAACUCAGAUAUUGAACCCACAAACAAUAUCCGCCAGGGUACUACGAGCGCUAGCUUAAAACCCAAAGGACUUGACGGUGUCUCAGACCCACCUAGAGGAGCCUGUUCUAGAACCGAUAAUCCCCGUUCAACCUCACCACCCCUUGCUUUUCCCGCCUAUAUACCGCCGUCGCAAGCUUACCCUGUGAAGGACCUACAGUAAGCAAAAUGAGUACAACCCAAAACGUCAGGUCGAGGUGUAGCUCACGAGGUGGAAAGAAAUGGGCUACAUUUUCUUCAACAGAAUACUACGGACAACACUAUGAAACUAGCGUUUAAAGGUGGAUUUAGUAGUAAAAAACAAAUAGAGUGUGUUUUUGAACCAGGCUCUGAGACGCGCACACACCGCCCGUCACUCUCCCCAUCACCUGCCUUACUAGGUAAAUAACCAAUCAUCCUUUAUAUUCGGGGAGGCAAGUCGUAACAUGGUAAGUGUACCGGAAGGUGCACUUGGAACAC
RNAcentral lists this non-coding RNA (950 nucleotides) under Leporinus affinis. RNAcentral describes it as "12S rRNA". It matches the Rfam family "Bacterial small subunit ribosomal RNA". Lineage: Eukaryota; Metazoa; Chordata; Actinopteri; Characiformes; Anostomidae. The record is from RNAcentral.